AAACCGGAGCUAAUACCGGAUAAUAUUUCGAACCGCAUGGUUCGAUAGUGAAAGAUGGCUCUGCUAUCACUUAUAGAUGGACCUGCGCCGUAUUAGCUAGUUGGUAAGGUAACGGCUUACCAAGGCAACGAUACGUAGCCGACCUGAGAGGGUGAUCGGCCACACUGGAACUGAGACACGGUCCAGACUCCUACGGGAGGCAGCAGUAGGGAAUCUUCCGCAAUGGGCGAAAGCCUGACGGAGCAACGCCGCGUGAGUGAUGAAGGUCUUCGGAUCGUAAAACUCUGUUAUUAGGGAAGAACAAACGUGUAAGUAACUGUGCACGUCUUGACGGUACCUAAUCAGAAAGCCACGGCUAACUACGUGCCAGCAGCCGCGGUAAUACGUAGGUGGCAAGCGUUAUCCGGAAUUAUUGGGCGUAAAGCGCGCGUAGGCGGUUUUUUAAGUCUGAUGUGAAAGCCCACGGCUCAACCGUGGAGGGUCAUUGGAAACUGGAAAACUUGAGUGCAGAAGAGGAAAGUGGAAUUCCAUGUGUAGCGGUGAAAUGCGCAGAGAUAUGGAGGAACACCAGUGGCGAAGGCGACUUUCUGGUCUGUAACUGACGCUGAUGUGCGAAAGCGUGGGGAUCAAACAGGAUUAGAUACCCUGGUAGUCCACGCCGUAAACG
RNAcentral lists this ribosomal RNA (667 nucleotides) under Staphylococcus sp. PLB039. RNAcentral's name for it is "bacterial SSU rRNA". It matches the Rfam family "Bacterial small subunit ribosomal RNA", at positions 154 to 808 of the family's 1533-position model. The record is from RNAcentral. Lineage: Bacteria; Bacillati; Bacillota; Bacilli; Caryophanales; Staphylococcaceae.